UACAGAGGUCCCAAGCGUUGUUCGGAUUCAUUGGGCGUAAAGGGUGCGUAGGCGGCGCGGUAAGUCGGGUGUGAAAUCUCGGAGCUUAACUCCGAAACUGCAUUCGAUACUGCCGUGCUUGAGGACUGGAGAGGAGACUGGAAUUUACGGUGUAAGCGGUGAAAUGCGUAGAGUAUCGUAAGGAAGACCAGUGGCGAAGGCGGCUUACUGGUCCAUAACUGACGCUGAGGUGACGAAAGCGUGGGGAGCAAACAGG
RNAcentral lists this ribosomal RNA (256 nucleotides) under uncultured bacterium. Its description in RNAcentral is "partial 16S ribosomal RNA". It matches the Rfam family "Bacterial small subunit ribosomal RNA", at positions 524 to 776 of the family's 1533-position model. The record is from RNAcentral.